GUCCCGUCUCGCUGUCGCGUCCCUUUGAAAUUCCAAGGAAAUUUACCAAUAUGGAUUUUUCGGCUGUAAUCCCCUUGUUGAGAUGCCGGAGCUUUCUAAAGCUGCUGAUGGAGGAGGCCUUUUUCGUUGGCAGGAGAAGUUACAGUCAUCAGAUCUAAUGGAAAGCAUGGAAAACACGGAAAUAUGUCUUCAGAAGAGGUGGGCUUUGAGGGAUCACUGUGGGGGCACCAAGAUGAGAAUGACUUCAGUGAUUUUGGAGCAGUUGUCUUCAGCCUUUGAGAAGUGGUGAUUUCUGAAUUUCCUUGUGAAUAUGGGAUCAUGGCGCUGAGUGGAAAAUAAAAUAUCAUCAUAGGGAGCUUAUGGGGAAAAACCAACAACAACAAACACAGCAGCCAGUGGAAUGGCAACAAACCAGAUGGAUUUGUGGUAACCACAGCAAAUACGGAUGCUGGGAAACAAGAAAAGGCAAACAAACGGAUUUGAGAGAUACUGAGAAAGGAAAUGUCUUUGAAACCAAGAGGAGCUAGAAAUUCUCCAGACUUGAUCUACCCACCAAGGCACAGCUGAGAAGUUUGAGUCAGGCACCCAGUGGUCUGUGGGUGUCCUGAGAAAUGCUGGAUUGAUCCCUUUCUGUUUCAGUGAGCCGGGAAGAUGGGACGCCCUGCAAGCGGAGGGACAUCAAAGGCUCUUGCCAGGUGACAAUGGUGGCAGGCACACGUGGCACUUGUGUGCCAGAGCAUCAGCCAGCACUCCACAAGGGUAGUAAUCCACUCUGCUGACUGGAUGGGUCAGCUUCCCAUGGAAUUGCUGCAAAUUCCCAGGGUAGAGACAGGCUGUGAGAUCCCAUUAAAAUAGCAUU
This is a long non-coding RNA of Hirundo rustica (Barn swallow), 859 nucleotides long. RefSeq lists it as uncharacterized. The transcript has 4 exons. NCBI's taxonomy places the organism in Eukaryota, Metazoa, Chordata, Aves, Passeriformes, Hirundinidae. The record is from RefSeq and is a predicted model, not a curated record.